Molecule: ribosomal RNA, 398 nt
Filed under: uncultured bacterium
Lineage: Bacteria
Description: partial 16S ribosomal RNA
Rfam family: Bacterial small subunit ribosomal RNA
Source: RNAcentral
AUACGUAGGGUGCGAGCGUUGUCCGGAAUUACUGGGCGUAAAGAGCUCGUAGGUGGUUAGUCGCGUCGUCUGUGAAAUUCCGGGGCUUGACUCCGGGCGUGCAGGCGAUACGGGCAUAACUUGAGUACUGUAGGGGAGACUGGAAUUCCUGGUGUAGCGGUGAAAUGCGCAGAUAUCAGGAGGAACACCGGUGGCGAAGGCGGGUCUCUGGGCAGUAACUGACGCUGAGGAGCGAAAGCAUGGGUAGCGAACAGGAUUAGAUACCCUGGUAGUCCAUGCCGUAAACGGUGGGCGCUAGGUGUAGGGGUCUUCCACGACUUCUGUGCCGUAGCUAACGCAUUAAGCGCCCCGCCUGGGGAGUACGGCCGCAAGGCUAAAACUCAAAUGAAUUGACGGGG